UAGAGUUUUGGGAUCUGGCUCAGGACGAACGCUGGCGGCGUGCCUAAUACAUGCAAGUAGAACGCUGAAGGAGGAGCUUGCUUCUCUGGAUGAGUUGCGAACGGGUGAGUAACGCGUAGGUAACCUGCCUGGUAGCGGGGGAUAACUAUUGGAAACGAUAGCUAAUACCGCAUAACAGUAGAUGUUGCAUGACAUUUGCUUAAAAGGUGCAAUUGCAUCACUACCAGAUGGACCUGCGUUGUAUUAGCUAGUUGGUGGGGUAACGGCUCACCAAGGCGACGAUACAUAGCCGACCUGAGAGGGUGAUCGGCCACACUGGGACUGAGACACGGCCCAGACUCCUACGGGAGGCAGCAGUAGGGAAUCUUCGGCAAUGGACGGAAGUCUGACCGAGCAACGCCGCGUGAGUGAAGAAGGUUUUCGGAUCGUAAAGCUCUGUUGUAAGAGAAGAACGAGUGUGAGAGUGGAAAGUUCACACUGUGACGGUAUCUUACCAGAAAGGACGGCUAACUACUCAGCG
Molecule: ribosomal RNA, 520 nt
Filed under: uncultured Streptococcus sp.
Lineage: Bacteria; Bacillati; Bacillota; Bacilli; Lactobacillales; Streptococcaceae
Description: bacterial SSU rRNA
Rfam family: Bacterial small subunit ribosomal RNA
Source: RNAcentral